CCCUCAUCCACACACUCGUGUGGUUGCCUGUCACUGGCAAGCUGGGCCCGCUCACUAGCCACCCACACCCGCACCCGCACGCGCCCCUCCAUUAUUGUCCCGUGACCUCACUAGUCAGCCCACGCCUCGUGGAUCUUACUCUUGCGUCGACCGACCCCGAGAACCUUGCCGCCAGUGAGAUCCCAGCUGGCCAAACACAGCCAACCUCCUAACCGACCUCUGGCAGCCAUAAAAGGUUGCGCCGAAGCCCUGCCUUCCCUUUUCCUUCGCCGCACACCAAUAGCCAUUGCCCAAAUCUGCGAGGGAGAGAUUGAAGACGCCGCCGUGUGAGAGCAAGGCGUCUAAGCGAGUCUCCCGGGUUCACCGACAAAUUCAUUUCGUUGAAGCAUCGCAGUGUGCCCUGUGGAUCCGUAAAAGCCAGCUCGGGGACCUUCUGAGGCCGGUGUCACCCCGCUCGCGGCAUAUUGCUCAUCAGAGCAAAUCUACGCUGUGAACCUGCCGCACCGAGAUUCAGCUCGGCCUUAUCACAACCUCAACUCUGACGAGCAAGUGACCGAGGAGCCCGGAGCACAGCAGGUUGAAGAUACUAAACAGGAGCUCGCUGAAGGUGAAGAGCAGGUGCCACCGGAGGAGGACUACUACGACAAGUUCGAUGAGGUCUAGGUGUCGUCUCCCAGUCAGCAUGAUGGCGCCAAGGGAUGAUAAUAUUAUUAUUUUGCUUUAUUUAUUAUCAGUUAUUUUUUAAGACAUUUUUGUUAUGUAAUAAAGUUGGUGACAUUUGUCUCUAUACACUGAGUCAUUAUAUGUGUUGAUCUUAAAUCUGGGUUUGCCCCUUAAAUCUGGGUGUGACAGUGCGCGAUGGCGGUGGACCCCGGGAUGCGUGCGACGGCGGCACCAUGCGUGGCGGCGACGACAAUUCCUUGAUCCAGAGGCACGACGGUGGUAGCUCUCCGAUCCGAAGGCAUGGCGAUACCGGCUCUCCGAUCUGGUGGUGCAGCGACUGUGGCUCGCAGAUCCGGUGGCGCGAUGUCGGUUCCUCGACCCGGAGGCACAACGACAGCGGCUCCCUAAUCCGAAGGCACGACACCGGUGGCUUCCCGGAGGUGGCUCCCCAGAGGCGUGUGCGGGGUUCACCAUCCGCACCACGGGCCCCGUGACAUCCUCCAAUCCUGCGCAUUUCGAGUAUCCUCCGGCGACAGUCUCCUCCAACCCGACGACUUUGGGGUAUCCUCCAGCGAUGGAGCUCAUCAGAUCCAUGUUUAUGCCUCCAUGGUUGCUUUUUAUGCCAACCACUGCAGUACUUUAGAUAUUCCAUUAGAUGAUUUUAUGAUGAUGAAUAUGGCGUCUCUAACUUGUAUUUUUAUGUUAAUAGCAUUUACACUAUAUUUGCCAUUAUUUUACGCUCAAACUUGAUGAUUUUUUCGAUCAUAAAUUCAACACAUUUGAGUU
Molecule: long non-coding RNA, 1449 nt
Organism: Zea mays
Lineage: Eukaryota; Viridiplantae; Streptophyta; Magnoliopsida; Poales; Poaceae
Exons: 3
Source: RefSeq, marked validated